This 397-nucleotide ribosomal RNA is filed under the name uncultured bacterium. RNAcentral's name for it is "partial 16S ribosomal RNA". It matches the Rfam family "Bacterial small subunit ribosomal RNA", at positions 523 to 918 of the family's 1533-position model. The record is from RNAcentral.
AUACGUAGGGGGCGAGCGUUGUCCGGAAUGAUUGGGCGUAAAGGGCGCGUAGGCGGCCCGAUAAGUCCGGAGUGAAAGUCCUGUUUUUAAGAUGGGAAUUGCUUUGGAUACUGUCGGGCUUGAGUGCAGGAGAGGUAAGUGGAAUUCCCAGUGUAGCGGUGAAAUGCGUAGAGAUUGGGAGGAACACCAGUGGCGAAGGCGACUUACUGGACUGUAACUGACGCUGAGGCGCGAAAGUGUGGGGAGCAAACAGGAUUAGAUACCCUGGUAGUCCACACUGUAAACGAUGAAUGCUAGGUGUAGGGGGUAUCGACCCCUUCUGUGCCGCAGUCAACACAAUAAGCAUUCCGCCUGGGGAGUACGGCCGCAAGGUUGAAACUCAAAGGAAUUGACGGGG